Rhagoletis pomonella (apple maggot) is the source of this 1396-nucleotide RNA transcript. It is a transcript of the gene named putative nuclease HARBI1, with no coding region annotated. The transcript has 3 exons. The record is from RefSeq and is a predicted model, not a curated record. Lineage: Eukaryota; Metazoa; Arthropoda; Insecta; Diptera; Tephritidae.
CCAAGUGUACUCUUGACGCUAGUUGGAAUUCCUGAAGUGUAGAUGAUAUACAGCAUAGGCCCUAGUACACUACCUUGAGGAACGCCAGCCGUUAUCGACAUGUCUUUUGAAGUGAAAUUAGAUACUUUUACAGCAAAUUUUCUGUUAGUUAUGUAUGAUUCAAAUAUUUUGUGGAAUUCCGGCGGCAAAAUUUUUUUAAAUUUUAUAUAUAAGAUCGUCGUGCCACACUUUGUCGAAUGUUUGUGCCACAUCGAGAAAAAUUGCAGAGCAGUACUCUCUGAGCUCAAAUGCCCUUCUGUAGUGGGAUUCGCCAUUCUAUUUUAACGAUUAUCGAAUCGUUAAGAAAACUUAACGACGAUUUUAACGAUUUGACAAUUUGCUAAACAUAUUUUAACGAUAUUCGCGAUCGCUUGAUCAGCUGUUGUCGUUAACUACUCGAUUACUCGUUAAGUAAACGACGAAUAUUUUGAAGUUGUUAGCGGCAUCGACAAAAGAAAAUUUGAUAUUUCAUUUGAGUUUAAAUAAAAUAAUAUAGAUCGCGAAUUUACUUAAGUAAUAUAUAAAAGAAAAACUUUUUGUUAAAAAUGGCAUUUGAGUAUUUGGCAUACGUUUUAUCCCAAGAUGAGGAGAUAAUAAGCCCUUCAUCAGUGGAUAGACGUUUGCUUCGAGAAGUGGACAACCCUUUCCACUUGACUGCAACUGAGUUUCGUAACCUUUACCAAUUAACCCCACACUUGGUUGAAGAUAUUGUUCCUCAGCUUGAUAGCCAAUUAAGGGGUCGAAGAAUAACUGCGAUAACGACAGAGAAAUAGAUUUUAAAGGUUCUAACUGCCUUGCGAUUCUUCGCAACUGGCUGUUAUCAACGUCCCGUCGAAGAGCAAUGGGGGAUAUCCAUGAGCCAGUCGUCCGUAAGACACUGUAUACAUCGCGUAAUGGAUGCAAUAAACCGCACCAUGUUUUUGGCAAAGGUUAGGUUUCCAAUGACCCAAAUAGAGCGGCAAGCUGCAAAAGAAAUUUUCGCCUCAGCAUCCGCACCAUAUGUAGGAGGUACUAUUGGGGCUAUCGAUUGCACUCAUGUGUCAAUUAUGAGCCCAAAACAUCAUGAAGAAGCGUAUGCCAACCACCAUGGAUACCAUUCUAUCAAUGUGCAAAUGAUAUGUGAUCCAAAUCCAAAGAUUUUGGCUGUCAAUGCUAAAUACCCAGGAGCGCGACACGAUUCAUUUAUUUGGAGCUCCUCUGCAGCCCGGAGAGUUAUGCAGCGAAGUUUUGAAAAUGGAAACCAUAACAUGUUUUUGUUAAAACGUUGAUAAAUAAAAAUUCAGAAGGAAUACAAUAAAAUUAUUUUGGCAUUUUAUUAAACAUUUUUAUGUAAAUAAAAACUUGUAUCAAUAACUUC